RNAcentral lists this small nuclear RNA (108 nucleotides) under Mnemiopsis leidyi (sea walnut). The record is from RNAcentral. Lineage: Eukaryota; Metazoa; Ctenophora; Tentaculata; Lobata; Bolinopsidae.
AUUUUUGUUACUGUUAAUAUGUUUAUCGAAAUGAGAACUAUACAGAGAAAAUUAGCAGGGCCCCUGCCCAAGGAUGACGCGCAAAUUCGGGAAACGUUCACAGUUCAU